This 433-nucleotide ribosomal RNA is filed under the name uncultured bacterium. Its description in RNAcentral is "partial 16S ribosomal RNA". It matches the Rfam family "Bacterial small subunit ribosomal RNA", at positions 29 to 507 of the family's 1533-position model. The record is from RNAcentral.
AGCGAACGCUGGCGGCAGGCCUAACACAUGCAAGUCGAACGACCUCUUCGUAGUUAGUUGCUGACGGGUGAGUAACACGUGGGAACGUGCCUUUUGGUUCGGGAUACCUCAGUGAAACUUGUGCUAAUACCGAAUGUGCCCUUCGGGGGAAAGAUUGAUCGACAUUAUAGAGGCCCGCGUCUGUUUAGCUUGUUGGUGUGGUAACGGCGCACCAAGGCUACGAUCAGUAGCUGGGCUGAGAGGAUGCCCAGCGACACUGGGACUGAGACACGGUCGAGACUCCUACGGGAGGAAGCAGUGGGGAAUCUUGCGCAAUGGGCGAAAGGAUGACGGAGCCAUGCCGGGUGAAUGAUGAAGGUCUGAGGAUAGUAAAAUUCUUUCACCGGGGACGAUAAUGACGGUACCCGGAGAAGAAGCCCCGGCUAACUUCGUG